AUGCACCUCGGAGACAGGGAUUAUGAUCAUGGUUGCAUCGAGGAAUGCAGAGGAGAAGACUCAGUCAUUCAGCCACCAGGAGAUGUGAUCGCUACUGAGGGAGAACAGGUCACACUGGACUGUCAAUUUGAUGCAGUUAGUAUGAACAAUAUCUACCUGUUCUGGUACAAGCUUGAAGUGAAUGACUUCCCAGAGUUCAUGUUGGGCCGUUUUCCUUUUGGAAGUAAAAAUGCCACUGAGUUCAAGGAUAGAUUUGAUGCCCAUCUCGAUGCAGACUCCAAGUCAGUCCCCUUGACGAUCCAGAGGGUGCAGCUGUCUGACUCUGCUGUGUACUACUGUGCUCUGAGGCCCACUGUGACAACAGGAUAUACAGCCUCAUUACAAAAACUAUUUGAUUGUGUGAUGUAA
This is a non-coding RNA of Oncorhynchus kisutch (coho salmon), 408 nucleotides long. The record is from the annotation of a RefSeq genome assembly. NCBI's taxonomy places the organism in Eukaryota, Metazoa, Chordata, Actinopteri, Salmoniformes, Salmonidae.